AGCGAGGCAGCGCGCUGCAGCCCUGUAGAACGCUGGAGGCGGGAAGGGGCCGGGGUAGUGAAAGGCGCCUGAGCGCCCGGCCGAGCCUCCCAGCCGCCGCCGCUGUCCGUCCAGCCGGGAGACCCGGUCCUGGCUCGGGGGAGCGGGGAUUAGAUGGCACUCCAAAAGGAAAACAGAAUGACUAUCCAAAACUGCAAAUAAGGCUGAACAGGAAUCCAAGAGAGGAAGUCCAAGGAAGAGGGCCAAGAAGGGCGACAGCAGUUAGCAAGAGAAGCGGGUGCAGGGGCAGCCCAUCUGCCCUACUGCCUAGUGUCUGCCUUGGAAGCACUUUUGAGAGAGAG
Long non-coding RNA from Pogoniulus pusillus (Red-fronted tinkerbird), 341 nucleotides. RefSeq lists it as uncharacterized. The record is from RefSeq and is a predicted model, not a curated record. The transcript has 3 exons. Lineage: Eukaryota; Metazoa; Chordata; Aves; Piciformes; Lybiidae.